Molecule: ribosomal RNA, 949 nt
Filed under: Clathrospora elynae
Lineage: Eukaryota; Fungi; Ascomycota; Dothideomycetes; Pleosporales; Diademaceae
Description: SSU rRNA
Rfam family: Eukaryotic small subunit ribosomal RNA
Source: RNAcentral
AUUUGAUAAUACCUUACUACUUGGAUAUCCGUGGUAAUUCUAGAGCUAAUACAUGCUGAAAACCCCAACUUCGGGAGGGGUGUAUUUAUUAGAUAAAAAACCAAUGCCCUUCGGGGCUCCUUGGUGAUUCAUGAUAACUUUACAGAUCGCAUGGCCUUGCGCCGGCGACGGUUCAUUCAAAUUUCUGCCCUAUCAACUUUCGAUGGUAAGGUAUUGGCUUACCAUGGUUUCAACGGGUAACGGGGAAUUAGGGUUCGAUUCCGGAGAGGGAGCCUGAGAAACGGCUACCACAUCCAAGGAAGGCAGCAGGCGCGCAAAUUACCCAAUCCCGAUACGGGGAGGUAGUGACAAUAAAUACUGAUACAGGGCUCUUUUGGGUCUUGUAAUUGGAAUGAGUACAAUUUAAACCUCUUAACGAGGAACAAUUGGAGGGCAAGUCUGGUGCCAGCAGCCGCGGUAAUUCCAGCUCCAAUAGCGUAUAUUAAAGUUGUUGCAGUUAAAAAGCUCGUAGUUGAAACUUGGGCCUGGCUGGCAGGUCCGCCUCACCGCGUGUACUUGUCCGGCCGGGCCUUCCUUCUGGAGAACCUCAUGCCCUUCACUGGGCGUGUUGGGGACCAGGACUUUUACUUUGAAAAAAUUAGAGUGUUCAAAGCAGGCCUUUGCUCGAAUACGUUAGCAUGGAAUAAUAAAAUAGGACUGUGGUCUUAUUUUGUUGGUUUCUAGGACCGCAGUAAUGAUUAAUAGGGACAGUCGGGGGCAUUAGUAUUCAAUAGUCAGAGGUGAAAUUCUUGGAUUUAUUGAAGACUAACUACUGCGAAAGCAUUUGCCAAGGAUGUUUUCAUUAAUCAGUGAACGAAAGUUAGGGGAUCGAAGACGAUCAGAUACCGUCGUAGUCUUAACCGUAAACUAUGCCGACUAUGAAUCGGGCGAUGUUCUUUUUUGACUCGCU